UCGGAAUAUAGCACAGCUUGGUAGAGCAUCUGCUUUGGGAGCAGAAUGUCGUAGGUUCAAAUCCUGCUGUUCCGAA
Molecule: transfer RNA, 76 nt
Filed under: Pterocladiophila hemisphaerica
Lineage: Eukaryota; Rhodophyta; Florideophyceae; Gracilariales; Pterocladiophilaceae
Description: tRNA-Pro
Rfam family: tRNA
About the family: Transfer RNA (tRNA) molecules are approximately 80 nucleotides in length.
Source: RNAcentral